RNAcentral lists this long non-coding RNA (353 nucleotides) under Setaria italica (foxtail millet). RNAcentral's name for it is "long non-coding RNA (SITA_LNC002965)". Lineage: Eukaryota; Viridiplantae; Streptophyta; Magnoliopsida; Poales; Poaceae. The record is from RNAcentral.
UAUAACAUGAUAUUACAACAUUGUACCAAAUGAAAGUUAACAUCAAAGGGAGAACAUGAAGCCGUGCCUAAAGCAAGCGAGCCAUGGUAAUUCUUUUAUGGAAGUUCACUUGGUAAUAUUGUUGAAGCACUCUUGUAUGUAGCUCCUAGUGCCAGCCCCCACCUCCACCAUAAUAUUCAGCUCCAGGAUAUCCACCACCGUAACCACCACCGCCGCCACCGUAUCCACCGCCAUAUCCACCACCACCCCCAUAUCUGCCGCCUCCGCCGCCUCCGCCGCCACCGUAUCCACCACCAAAGUCAGGGUAACCAUACCCACCGCCAUACCAACCGCGCCCAGGUACAUAUCCACCG